GUUUCAAAAAAGAAAAACAACAUUAAUUCCACUGAAUAACUUUUACUUUAUUUAGGUGAACCAGAAAAAAUUCGACCCCCGAACGAAAAUGUUAGCAGUGCACUAUUAGAACUACAAUCUCGAAAGAAAAGGCGUGUUCAAUUUAAUGAAAUAGAAGAAGAAUGCGAAUUUCAAAACGAAACGGAGGAAAAGGCUGAUACUGGAUUGACGGAGCAGGUUGAAAUUCUGGA
Molecule: long non-coding RNA, 230 nt
Organism: Eurytemora carolleeae
Lineage: Eukaryota; Metazoa; Arthropoda; Copepoda; Calanoida; Temoridae
Exons: 3
Source: RefSeq, a predicted model, not a curated record